UGGAUUCGACGGGAUUUGCGAAACCCAAGGUGCAUGCCGAGGGGCGGUUGGCCUCGUAAAAAGCCGCAAAAAAUAGUCGCAAACGACGAAAACUACGCUUUAGCAGCUUAAUAACCUGCUUAGAGCCCUCUCUCCCUAGCCUCCGCUCUUAGGACGGGGAUCAAGAGAGGUCAAACCCAAAAGAGAUCGCGUGGAAGCCCUGCCUGGGGUUGAAGCGUUAAAACUUAAUCAGGCUAGUUUGUUAGUGGCGUGUCCGUCCGCAGCUGGCAAGCGAAUGUAAAGACUGACUAAGCAUGUAGUACCGAGGAUGUAGGAAUUUCGGACGCGG
RNAcentral lists this transfer-messenger RNA (328 nucleotides) under Enterobacter hormaechei subsp. xiangfangensis. RNAcentral describes it as "partial transfer-messenger RNA". It matches the Rfam family "transfer-messenger RNA". Rfam says of the family: Bacterial tmRNA, also known as 10Sa RNA or SsrA, is named for its dual tRNA and mRNA-like properties. Its role is to liberate the mRNA from a stalled ribosome. Lineage: Bacteria; Pseudomonadati; Pseudomonadota; Gammaproteobacteria; Enterobacterales; Enterobacteriaceae. The record is from RNAcentral.